GUACGUGUGUGUUUCAUGUUAUUUUUUUUCUUUACAAUUAAAACUGUUUCCAUUUUUUCAUACUUUAUAAGGCAUCUCAUAAAUUUACACACCAGGGAACAUCCCUGGUUGGACCUAUUUAUAAUAAACAUCAUUUAUUUAUAAGGGAGCCAAGGUUUAGGGCCUACCACUCAGCCAGACCUUCCUUUUUGGUUUCCCUAGUCUUUGACUGUUGCACGUGCAUUACCAAUAUAACUGUACCUUGGAUGUCUUUUAUUUGCACAUUUGACGACUGCUUGUUAAGCUUCCACUAUCUGCCAGGCGUUGGGCGGGGCUUUGCGGAGUCAAGGCGAGCAGAACAGACCUGGCCCUGCCCGCAAGGAGGUCGCAGACGUGAACCAGCAAUCACAGACACCUCAAGAUGCAGAGAAUAAGGCGUGACCUGUCUGAGGUCACACUCUAGAAAGGAGCAGCAUCAGGACUCAGAUGCAGGUAUUUGUCCAUAAGCACUCAUCUUAGUCACCAGGAAUGUUGGGGAACACAGUUUUACGUGCUGUGAGGAGACCUGAAGAAAUAUGUCACCCUCCCUGCCCUCAGGGAGCUUACAGUCCAUCCAGGAAGAGGAGAAGAGCACAUGUCAAAAAGCUUCAAGGUUCCAGGUCGUAUGUGUUGAAUGAAUGGAGACAUGAAGCAUAAACGUUUCAAGGAAGCCCAGGGCCAUCCUGGACAGUCGCCACCAGGCCUGCCAUCACUAUGGGGUGGCCCAAGGCCAUGUCUGCCAGGAACACCACCAUUUGGUAUUUAUCUAUGCAAAAUUUACAUUGACCGCUGAUGAGCAAAACAGUGCGCUCCACAUAUAGAUUGAGGGUGUGGGGCUUUUGCCACUGGAGUUCCCCCUGUGUUGAGUCACGGUGGCAGAAGGCACAGUGACAGAAGUCCCUGGGAGCCGCUGACUGGCGCUUGGAGGACUGAGUGAUUCAGCAGCGAGGCCCCCCUCUGGCCCUCCUGCCCCAGAAAGCUCUGGAUCUGCACGGAAGCAGCACGGUAAAGGGUGGACGAAUUGUGGGUGUGGAUGCUUUCCCACAAGUCUGUGCUCCCCAGUUCAGUUGUCUGGGCUCUUAUUAAAAGGGUUCGUUCUCCUCCUUAGAGUCAGACGGAGGCCCCCUGUGGGCUGCUGCUUGGGAACGGCCGGGGGUGUUCUCUGGCUGGGGCUUCAGAGGAUGCAAGGACAACCCCACAGAGCAGGAACAGCCUGCCAGUUCCAUGCCCGCAGCGGCCCCCAGAGCAGCUGCCCCAGGACACACGGAUGAGAGGGGAGGGUGUCAGAGGGGCUUCGGUAGACUUGUUGCCAU
This 1331-nucleotide long non-coding RNA is filed under the name Equus caballus (horse). Its description in RNAcentral is "lncRNA (ENSECAG00000055353.1)". The record is from RNAcentral. Lineage: Eukaryota; Metazoa; Chordata; Mammalia; Perissodactyla; Equidae.